UUUUAGAGAUACCGACAUGGUACAGCCUUCAAGGGAACCAAGGGAAUUACGAACACCAGCUUUAGGAGAGUACUUAAUUCCUGGCAGGGAAGGACAAGGAGUGAGUUGGAGAGAGACACGCCAGGGGCUGGCAGUUUGCGGUGAUGUCCUCUUCCUGCACCCAGGAGUUGGGUGCGAGUGUCUGUGUAUUUGUGAUGCUUUAAGCCUGACACACGUUUCUUAACGAGUGCUCAGUAUUUUGUAUAAGUAAUUGACACGGGGACAGAACCCAUGGCACUGAGGGCUAUGUGGGCUCCCCGCUCAUUGCAGAGCGCCUCCGCAGGGAGGAGAAGCAGCGACAGGAGCUGGAGAAGACCCGCCGGAAGCUGGAGGGAGACUCCACAGACCUCAGCGACCAGAUCGCCGAGCUCCAGGCGCAGAUCGCGGAGCUCAAGAUGCAGCUGGCCAAGAAAGAGGAGGAGCUCCAGGCCGCCCUGGCCAGAGUGGAAGAGGAAGCUGCCCAGAAGAACAUGGCCCUCAAGAAGAUCCGGGAGCUGGAAUCUCAGAUCUCUGAACUCCAGGAAGACCUGGAGUCUGAGCGUGCUUCCAGGAAUAAAGCUGAGAAGCAGAAACGGGACCUUGGGGAAGAGCUAGAGGCGCUGAAAACAGAGUUGGAGGACACGCUGGAUUCCACAGCUGCCCAGCAGG
RNAcentral lists this small RNA (687 nucleotides) under Pongo abelii (Sumatran orangutan). RNAcentral's name for it is "retained intron". Lineage: Eukaryota; Metazoa; Chordata; Mammalia; Primates; Hominidae. The record is from RNAcentral.